This 463-nucleotide ribosomal RNA is filed under the name uncultured bacterium. Its description in RNAcentral is "partial 16S ribosomal RNA". It matches the Rfam family "Bacterial small subunit ribosomal RNA", at positions 28 to 507 of the family's 1533-position model. The record is from RNAcentral.
GAUGAACGCUGACAGAAUGCUUAACACAUGCAAGUCUUUGGCGAAGCUGUGCUUGCACAGCCUAGCCAAGGCGGACGGGUGAGUAACGCGUAAGGAACUUGCCCUGCAGUCAGGUAUAACAGACGGAAACGACUGAUAAGACCUGGUAAAGUCAGGCGGACUCAUGUCCAGCCUGAUGAAAAGAGAUGCUGCAGGAGAGCCUUGCGUCCUAUUAGCUUGUUGGUGGGGUAACGGCCCACCAAGGCGAUGAUAGGUAGCCGGCCUGAGAGGGUGGACGGCCACAAGGGGACUGAGAUACGGCCAUUACUCCUACGGGAGGCAGCAGUGGGGAAUAUUGGACAAUGGGGGCAACCCUGAUCCAGCAAUUCUGUGUGCAAGAUGAAGGUUUUAGGAUCGUAAAGUGCUUUCAGCAGGGAAGAAAAAAAUGACGGUACCUGCAGAAGAAGCGACGGCUAAAUACGUG